Molecule: ribosomal RNA, 1466 nt
Filed under: metagenome
Description: bacterial SSU rRNA
Rfam family: Bacterial small subunit ribosomal RNA
Source: RNAcentral
AGAGUUUGAUCCUGGCUCAGGAUCAACGCUGGCGGCGUGCCUAACACAUGCAAGUCGAACGCGAAAGGCGCCUUCGGGUGCUGAGUAGAGUGGCGAACGGGUGAGUAACGCGUGGGUGAUCUACCUAAGAGAGGGGGAUAACUCGGGGAAACCCGGGCUAAUACCGCAUACGCCUGCAAGGGGAAAGGUUUCGAUCGCUCUUAGAGGAGCCCGCGUCCGAUUAGCUAGUUGGUGAGGUAAGAGCUCACCAAGGCGACGAUUGGUAGCCGGUCUGAGAGGACGGACGGCCACACUGGGACUGAGACACGGCCCAGACUCCUACGGGAGGCAGCAGUGGGGAAUUUUGGGCAAUGGGCGCAAGCCUGACCCAGCAACGCCGCGUGGAGGACGAAGGUUUUCGGAUCGUAAACUCCUGUCCAGAGGGACGAAGACAAGUGACGGUACCUCUGGAGGAAGCCCCGGCUAACUCCGUGCCAGCAGCCGCGGUAAUACGGGGGGGGCAAGCGUUGUUCGGAAUUACUGGGCGUAAAGGGCGCGUAGGCGGCUCUAGAAGUCAUGGGUGAAAGCCCCGGGCUCAACCCGGGAAGGGCCUGUGAAACCACGGGGCUGGAGUGCUGGAGAGGGAAGCGGAAUUCCCAGUGUAGCGGUGAAAUGCGCAGAUAUUGGGAGGAACAUCGGUGGCGAAGGCGGCUUUCUGGACAGACACUGACGCUGAGGCGCGAAAGCCAGGGGAGCGAACGGGAUUAGAUACCCCGGUAGUCCUGGCUGUAAACGAUGAACACUUGGUGUGGGGGGUGAUGAAAGUCCUUCCGUGCCGGAGAAAACUCAUUAAGUGUUCCGCCUGGGGAGUACGGCCGCAAGGCUGAAACUCAAAGGAAUUGACGGGGGCCCGCACAAGCGGUGGAGCAUGUGGUUUAAUUCGACGCAACGCGAAGAACCUUACCGGGGUUUGAACUGCUCAGGCAACCUCCAGAGAUGGGGGGUUCCUUACGGACUUGAGCAUAGGUGCUGCAUGGCUGUCGUCAGCUCGUGUCGUGAGAUGUUGGGUUAAGUCCCGCAACGAGCGCAGCCCUUGUUUGUAGUUGCCAUAAGGUGAAGCUGGGCACUCUACGGAGACUGUCGGCGAAAAGCCGGAGGAAGGUGGGGAUGACGUCAAGUCCUCAUGGCCUUUAUGUCCCGGGCUACACACGUGCUACAGUGGGCGGUACAGAGGGCCGCGACCCUGCGAAGGCAAGCGAAUCCCAGAAAACCGCUCUCAGUUCGGAUUGCAGUCUGCAACUCGACUGCAUGAAGGUGGAAUCGCUAGUAAUCGCGGAUCAGAACGCCGCGGUGAAUACGUUCCCGGGCCUUGUACACACCGCCCGUCACAUCACGAAAGUGGGCUGUACUAGAAGCCGCCGGCCUAACCUUAGGGAAGGAGGCGUCGACGGUAUGGCUCAUGAUUGGGGUGAAGUCGCAACAAGGUA